GGAGCAGCUUCAUUAACCCACAAGGAGAAAGAUGUGCAGGAUAUGCUGUGGUAACUUUGGAUGCUGUCAUUGAAGCCAAACCGUUGCCACAGGGCACUUCAGCCCAGAAAGCUGAGCUCAUUGCUUUAACUUGGGCUCUAGAACUCAGUGAAAGUAAGACUGUAAACAUCUACACGGACUCUCGAUAUGCCUUUCUAACCCUCCAAGUGCAUGGAGCAUUAUAUAAGGAAAAGGGCCUGUUAAACUCUGGGGGAAAGGACAUAAAAUAUCAACAAGAAAUCCUACAAUUAUUAGAGGCAGUGUGGAAACCUCAGAAGGUGGCGGUCAUGCACCGCAGGGGACACCAGUGAGCCUCCACCUCAGUGGCCUGAGGAAACUCUCGAGCUGAUUCAGAAGCUCAAAAAGCAGCAUCUACCCCUUCCUGGGCAUCGGUAGCAGCCCCCUUACUCCUCAAACACCUGACCUGGUACCUACCUAUUCUGAGGAAGAAAAAGACUUCUUCCACACAGCAGAGGGGCAAGAAAUAAAAGGAUGAUAGAUCAGACUGCCCAAUGGGAGGGUAGCUGUGCCACAGUUGCUGGGAGACACAAUCGUAUUGACCAUACACGAAACCACUCAUCUAGGACAAGAGUCACUUGAAAAUUGUUAGGCCGGUACUUCUACGUCUCACACUUGACAGCCCUUGCCAAAGCAGCAGCACAACAGUGUGUUACUUGCCAACAGCACAAUGCCAGGCAAGGCCCCACUGUUCUGCCUGGCAUACAAGCUUAUGGAGCGGCUCCUUUUGAGGAUCUUCAGGUGGAUUUCACAGAAAUGCCGAAAUGUGGAGGUGAUCCCGUGUGGAUCAAGGACUGGAAUGUAGCCCCUUUGUGCCCACAAUGGAAAGGACCUCAGACUGUCAUUCUGACCACCUCCACGGCUGUAAAGGUAGAAGGAAUCCCAGCCUGGAUCCACCACAGCCGUGUAAAACCUGCAGCCGAUAAAACCUGGGAGGCAAAACCGAGCCCGGAGAAGCGCUGUAAAGUGACUCUGAGGAGGACGACAAGCCCUGCUCCAGUCUCACCCAGAAGCUGACUGGUCUACGCAUGGCCGAAGCAUGAGGAGACUCAUCCCGGGACUCAUUUUCCUUAUAACUUGGACUUGUAUAGUAAAAACUUCCACUGAUUUUCCCCGCAUGGAGGACUGCUCUCAGUGUAUACAUCAGAUUACCGAGGUAGGGCAACAAGUUAAAACAAUCUUUCUGUUGUAUAGUUACUAUGAAUGCCUAGAAACUUUAAAAGGAACAUGUUUAUAUAGUGACACUCAGUACAAGUUAUGUAGCCCAGGAAACAACUGACCAGAUGUGUGUUAUGACCCCUCUGAG
RNAcentral lists this long non-coding RNA (1363 nucleotides) under Papio anubis (olive baboon). Its description in RNAcentral is "lncRNA (ENSPANG00000049869.1)". The record is from RNAcentral. Lineage: Eukaryota; Metazoa; Chordata; Mammalia; Primates; Cercopithecidae.